AAAGGGGCUGGUCCCGCACCCUGCCUCCAUCUACAUCUGGGGCAUUUCGGGGACACCUCCUUCAGCCACACCCGGACUGGGCACUAUACCACCAUGCAGGGACCUGUCCAAGUGGGAACCAGCAAGAUCCAUGCCCAGGAUGAAGGAGGCAGACAUCUCAGGCUUCCUUUCAUGGGAGCCCAGGCAGCCCACCCUUAUCUCCUUUUAGAGCCCAAGAAGGGGCUGUGGACCGACCCUGCCCCCACCCCUGAACUCCUUCCCAUUCACCUCUGCCCCCUUGUGCCCUCCACUGCGCAUCCCUCCUGGACCAGCCCACGUUUUCCUCACUGCCCCAUCCUCCCAGAUUGUUCUCCCUCACUGCCCUUUGGGGGAGCCCAGCUCACCCCAGAGCUCCCAGCCAGGAGCUCUGGGAGAAGGGGCAGGCCUGAAUCCGGAAGGGACUUCCAGAUUUGGGUGGAAGUACAGGUCUGCCUGGGCUUUGGGGUUUCCUCCCCCACCCCCACCCCAGCUUCGCUUCCGUAGCUAUAGAUAAGAAUGGUAGUACCCACCUCACCUCUUGGGGCAUUUGGAGGAUGGCAUGAGGAUUCCUGGUCUGGAAGCUUGGGAAGGGCCGGCUUACUCUCCACCCCUAGGAUCCUGUGAGGGUAGUCCAGGCCCUAAGGAGACCUGAGGGAAAGAAACCUCUAGAAGACUGCUUCCUAGUCUUCCCCGUGCCUAUUAGGCCCUGGCACCCUUUCUCUGCACUCAGGAUCCCCACCACCACCACAUACACUGACUGGAAACGUGCCUCUAGCUCUCAGCACCGUAUCGGGAAGCACCCCACCCACAGUGGGAAGGUCUGAGAGUCCAUCCUCCCGCAGAGCCUCCUUCUCAAUGUCCAGGAUGACCCAGCCCUGGUCCCACCUCCUCUCUCGCCUCCUCGGUCACUGGGGCAGACUCCCUGCUGCCACUCAGGUCCCCAGCCCGGAAUUCUGGGCAGGAGGCUGAGAGCAAGGGGCUACCCUGCCCUCCUGGGUGGGCUGGAAUCCUCCCGCAGCCUGCCUCUCCUCAGACACCAGGGGGUGGCAGGUUUGGACAGCUCCCUGCAGGCAGGGUCUAGGUCUGAGGGGCCCAGGGACAGGGAGCCUGGCCUGGGGUCAUCAGGCGCUGGAGGGCCA
This 1157-nucleotide long non-coding RNA is filed under the name Equus asinus (donkey). RNAcentral's name for it is "lncRNA (ENSEASG00005033670.1)". The record is from RNAcentral. Lineage: Eukaryota; Metazoa; Chordata; Mammalia; Perissodactyla; Equidae.